GGAUUGGGGCGUUGCCGGCGUGCAUUUAGAGAGGGGAUUAGGGAACUCUAAGGUUAGUCCACCGUGGCGGGGCUCGACAAGGUGGUAUGUCUCGCGUGGGUUGAAACGUAGAGGCUCUAGGGUACAGGAGAAGCAGGUCGUCGUGUUGUAUGAGUGGCCAGUCGAGGUGCGGAAGCGGGGACGUGGAGGAAGAGAGGAGCAACAACUCGCCGUCCAAUGUUUAGCCUACCUAGCCGUCGGCCUCAUCGUGCCCGGCCGACUGCUUGGCUGUCACCCAACGUUUUUAAGGGGGGAUCAGCUUCGCGGGUAGAGCUUUAGCUUCCCCUAACUGCGACCUACGUAGAUGAAGUCUCUACUGCACAGCUUAAGUAGUGUUUCUGGGUGUACCGAGUCUGCAGGCCCGAUAGUCCCAUAUGUUGGAGUUCCUACUGUGUUACUUCUAGUUUCGCGAGCCCGUUUCCGUGGAGUUGAACAUGGGUAACCGCGGCACCUGUUGUGGGAGGUAGUGUACUACCGAUUAAUCACUUUAAACUGUGUACUUUCGUUAAAAAGAAGUGGAACUUUGUGAGACGUAAACUGUUGUUGUAAAGAAAGAAAGAAACGUUUGUUUAGCAAGUAAACUUAAUCUUCGUACACAUUAAUACUGAGGUAAACUGUCAUCGUAAAAGUAAGAAAGAAACGUUUGUUUGGGAAGUAAACUUAAUCUCGGUACACAUUAAUACUGACCUUAGUAGAUAGAGAAAUCACCUUCGUUGUAUUAUGAACGAACCUUCGU
Molecule: ribosomal RNA, 775 nt
Filed under: Triticum aestivum (bread wheat)
Lineage: Eukaryota; Viridiplantae; Streptophyta; Magnoliopsida; Poales; Poaceae
Description: partial small subunit ribosomal RNA
Source: RNAcentral